Non-coding RNA from Schizosaccharomyces pombe (fission yeast), 1416 nucleotides. NCBI's taxonomy places the organism in Eukaryota, Fungi, Ascomycota, Schizosaccharomycetes, Schizosaccharomycetales, Schizosaccharomycetaceae. The record is from the annotation of a GenBank genome assembly.
AAUAUGACUAAGCUGAACUUCCUUGGGCAAUACAUUAAUGUUGUUAUUUGAGAAGUGACCAAGCACAACAAUUAAAAGAGCAACAGCAAGAAAUCCUGUAUCCAACGUAUCUGAGUUAACUAAACCAUCUGCAAGGAUUUGGUAACGGUUAGAAAAAACAGAUGGAGGAUAAAAGUAAAAAAAACUUUGAUACCGGAGGAAAAACUCAUUUGCAUAACGUUCUGCGACAGAAACCGGUGGUAACAAAUUAUGUGCUAUUUUCUUUAGAGCUUUUAAUGAAAAAGAUGAGUGAUUGGAGGUCAAAUUUAUAAUUGAAUAUUCAUGAGUUCCUUGUGAAGAAGCUGAACCUACAGAUACUGAAGUAGGGGUCGAUUGAAGUGUGUUUAGUUCUAAAGGCAAUAAAGAGGAAGAGAGAUCCUCCGGAAUUUUACUUUGAUAGUCAAUGAGCAGUGAUUCUGGGGUAUUGCUUGAAUUUAACUGUAAGGAUGCUAAAACAGAAUUUAAAAAAUAAGUGCUUGACGUCGGACUUAAAUAUAUGGGUUCUCCUAGAGCAUCUAAGAAUGAACGUACAGGAAGUAUGGGUUGGGAAUUGAUUAUUAAAUUAUUGGCACUUCUAAUAACCUUAUCUUGGUUCACAUGAAUUGCAUUAGCAGAUAUAUUUUCAGUAAACUUGAUGGAAGUAUUAAGAUCAGUGUUUUGAAUAGAUGAGAAAUUUGAAUCCGAAGAGGGGGGAGUAGAUGAAGAAGGAAAAGAAACGUUUGCUGACUUGACAGCAGACGAAUCGUCUUUAUUGUUUGUAGCAGCAACCUUUAAAACAGAUUGAUCAAUUGACCCGGGUAUUAGCAAAGAACGAACGUCGCUUCCAGAAGCUAAUGAAGAUUCGACAUGUUUGCAUAGUUUGACUAAACUACGUGUGUCAUGAGGAAGAGAAGGACACAGCAAUUCCAUCAGAUAUUCGAAGCAUUUCUGCCUUUGACUCAGUUCCGCAAUAAAUUGUUUUGAGGGAGUACGCUCUUUUAAAGAAUCAGCAUACUUACAUUGCGAAGGCGUAGCAAUGCAAGCCUGACAUGGUUCAGAACCACUGCAUCGAAUUUUCUUGGCCCGACAAGACAGACAUGCCCGCCUUACUCUUCUUCUACUGUCCAAAGGAACACGCCUUCUUUGUUUAUACUCUUCCUCUUUGGCUUCUAAAAACAAAGAACGACUAGAAAAGUCAGAGGGACACAUAAACUUCGCAUAAUAACAAUUGCUACAUUUAAGAUUUUCAUAUAGGUAAAUCAAUUUCGCUGUCGGUCACAGGUACCCGAAGGUGGUAAGUAGCAAUGCUACUUCAAUUUUAAAUAGUAUGCAUCAGCAAAAUUAAAUUUGCUAGUAAGCUCUGUCAAGUCCCCAGGUUAAUAUAAAUGUAUUAAAUGC